CACGUAGGGCGCAAGCGUUGUCCGGAAUUACUGGGCUUAAAGAGUUCGUAGGCGGCGCAGAAAGUAGGGUGUGAAAGCCCUCGGCUCAACCGAGGAAUUGCGCUCUAAACUACUGUGCUUGAGGGACCUAGAGGUGAGCGGAACUGAUGGUGGAGCGGUGAAAUGCGUUGAUAUCAUCAGGAACACCGGAGGCGAAGGCGGCUCACUGGGGGUCUUCUGACGCUGAGGAACGAAAGCCAGGGGAGCGAACGGG
This 253-nucleotide ribosomal RNA is filed under the name uncultured bacterium. RNAcentral describes it as "partial 16S ribosomal RNA". It matches the Rfam family "Bacterial small subunit ribosomal RNA", at positions 524 to 776 of the family's 1533-position model. The record is from RNAcentral.